Bos taurus (domestic cattle) is the source of this 1047-nucleotide long non-coding RNA. The record is from Ensembl. Lineage: Eukaryota; Metazoa; Chordata; Mammalia; Artiodactyla; Bovidae.
CAAGGCUACAUACCUAGACAAGGGACCACCCACUGUUCUGGAGAAGAGCUGUUAGUUCCAGCUGUCUGCCCUCAUGCAUGCAGCUGUGGGAGGAGUUCCGGAGUCACGACCAGAUUCCUUAAGGGGUUUCAAAACUGGGCCCUUCUGCUGAUAGCUCAGCUGCUUCUGGCUUAGCUCUUCCCACCCCACCUCCAUCCCCACCUCUGUAGGACCCAUUUCCCUUGCUGGGUCACUAACCUCAGAACACCUUGGCCUGGCUAAGAUUUGAGAUGUACAUUCCUCCUCAGUGUUUCCAAUUAGCCAUUUCCCCACAGGAGUUUCUUCAGCCCACCCUGCUUCACCUUUUUCUUACUGAGGGUUUGACUGCUAAUGGCAAAGACAGAUGGAAAUAAAGUAGCCAGCUUGGGAGGAAAUCAGAUUCACAGGGAGUCUGGCCAUCCAAUCCAGAGAAGAUCUGAAUUUUCUUUUACUAGGAGCCAGGAGCAGGAGGACAGGAAAUGGCAAUCCACUCCAAUGUUCUUGCCUGGAGAAUCCCAGGGUCGGGGGAGUCUGGUGGGCUGCCAUCUACGGGGUCGCACAGAGUGGGCCACGACUGAAGCGAUUUAGCAGCAGCAGCAGCCGCCGCAGCAGCUCCCUCCCAGGCCUCAGGAGUGCUUUCCUUGCACAGCUGGGAGAAUUACCCAGGAAGAAAUGGAAUCUUAAAAUCCGAGUCUUGACUGAUUUAAGAAAAACCUUAUUCAAAUUUUCUAGCGAAGACAGCAGUGGUGCGGCUGAAAGACAUUACUGAGGAAGUUAUGCUAAAUCAGAGCCCAAGCCUUGCAAGGCAGGAGACACGGGUUUGAUCCCUGAUCAGGGAACUGAAAUUCUACAUGCCCAGAGACCACUAAGCAGGCACACAGCGACCACUGAGCCUACGUGCCACAGCUGGAGAGCCCCGUGCCACAGCAAAAGAUCCCGCCUGAUGCCACAAAGACACAAGGAUGCAGCCAAAUAAAUAAAUAAACAUUUAAUAAAUAAAUAAAUUCUGUCCCUCUUCCUUCUAAGUAU